GAAUAUUGGACAAUGGGGGCAACCCUGAUCCAGCCAUGCCGCGUGAGUGAUGAAGGCCUUAGGGUUGUAAAGCUCUUUUAGCAGGGAAGAUAAUGACGGUACCUUGAUAAGAAGCACCGGCUAACUUCGUGCCAGCAGCCGCGGUAAUACGAAGGGUGCAAACGUUGCUCGGAAUCAUUGGGCGUAAAGCGCACGUAGGCGGCAUUCUAAGUCGGAUGUGAAAUCCCUCGGCUCAACCGAGGACGUGCAUCCGAAACUGGAACGCUCGAGUAUGGAAGAGGGUCGCGGAAUUCUCGGUGUAGAGGUGAAAUUCGUAGAUAUCGGGAGGAACACCAGUGGCGAAGGCGGCGACCUGGGCCAAUACUGACGCUGAGGUGCGAAAGCGUGGGGAGCAAAC
RNAcentral lists this ribosomal RNA (397 nucleotides) under uncultured bacterium. RNAcentral describes it as "bacterial SSU rRNA". It matches the Rfam family "Bacterial small subunit ribosomal RNA", at positions 359 to 773 of the family's 1533-position model. The record is from RNAcentral.